GGCAACGACCCGAAGGGCGAAGCGCGCAGCGCUGAGUCAUCCUUCCCCCACCACCA
RNAcentral lists this small RNA (56 nucleotides) under Salmonella enterica subsp. enterica serovar Muenchen. Its description in RNAcentral is "partial RtT sRNA". It matches the Rfam family "RtT RNA", at positions 75 to 130 of the family's 130-position model. Rfam says of the family: This family represents a bacterial cis-regulatory element known as RtT RNA. RNAcentral also lists the same sequence under 21 other names. The record is from RNAcentral. Lineage: Bacteria; Pseudomonadati; Pseudomonadota; Gammaproteobacteria; Enterobacterales; Enterobacteriaceae.